GACAACGAAAUAACGUAUUGUUUGAUGAUGCCAAUAAAUAAAUGAAAUUGGAGUCCGGAAAUUGGAAUGUUAUUUCUCAAGUUUGUUUAGUAAUUUUUUUGUGUAGUAUCCUUAUUUCAGUUUUGUGCAUUUUUUUGCACUUUCGAACACAAGUCUAGUCAUGCCAUACUUGUAUCCACAUUUGCCCGAUUAAGGUGGCACGGGCAUGUGAUUCUCGCUCGGAAGGUUUGUGUAAACCAAAGGUUUAUAUAUAUAUAUAUAUUUAAUGUAAUUUUCUUUAUGAAACAUAUCAACGAUAUUUACGAUUAUUUUAUCAUCACGAUGUUUACAGAGGUGCAAGCAUUUCGAAAUUGGUGGAGACGAAAAAGGAAAUGGAGCCUCUCUUUCUAGGCGUGCUUCUGUGGGAAUUGAGAAGGAAUUUGUUUUGGAAUUUGUUUUGCUAUUGUAAAAGUCCCCAUCUAAUACACACUUUUUUUUUGUUAUUUUGAAAGCUAAACAUCAAAUUGUUUGUCGUUGUGAGUAUUAUGACUUCAAAUGAUUAUGUUUGUAAGAGUUAAUACCGUUUAUUACAUAGACCUAAUUACAUAUGUUCGUAAGAGUUAAUACCAUUUAUGGGAUUUAUGGCAAAUAUUUUGUAUUGUUUGCCCACUUUAUAAAGUUUUAUUUCCCAACA
RNAcentral lists this long non-coding RNA (673 nucleotides) under Olea europaea subsp. europaea. Lineage: Eukaryota; Viridiplantae; Streptophyta; Magnoliopsida; Lamiales; Oleaceae. The record is from RNAcentral.